GACUUGAUCCAGACUUUAAUGCUUAAUCAAAUUGAGUUAAUUAGUGAUCUAAUCAUUAAUUAAUCUUUUAUUAAUGAUAGAAUCUCAGUCCAGUGGGACUCUUCACUAGAAUCUCUAUCCAGUAAGACUCUUCAGUAGAGUCUCCGUCUAGUGGGACUCUUCAUCAGAGUCUCAAUCCAGUGAGAGUCUUCAGAUUAGCCAU
Molecule: long non-coding RNA, 202 nt
Filed under: Elaeis guineensis (African oil palm)
Lineage: Eukaryota; Viridiplantae; Streptophyta; Magnoliopsida; Arecales; Arecaceae
Description: long non-coding RNA (EGUI_LNC008477)
Source: RNAcentral